Molecule: long non-coding RNA, 985 nt
Organism: Nycticebus coucang (slow loris)
Lineage: Eukaryota; Metazoa; Chordata; Mammalia; Primates; Lorisidae
Exons: 3
Source: RefSeq, a predicted model, not a curated record
CCCUUGAGCCGCGGGCCGAGCCCGCCGGAGGGUCGCCCCCUCUCCGCACUGCGUCCGGGGCGAGGAGGUCUCUCCCGACAGCCCCUCCUCGGGCCGGUCCCCGGCGCUCCGGCCCCCUCCGCGGCGAGCGGGGCCGGGAGAGCCCUGAAGAUCGGACGUGAAUUAGGCCAAGUCCCUGCCCGGCGAAAUUCAUUCAUUCGACAUGGAUUUGUCGGGCGCUGGGGACAAGGCGGCCAGCAGCACCCGCGCCUUCCCAGGCCUCAGGAGCAGGCACUGCUAGGCAGGAUGUCACACGCUGCAGCUGGGGGCACCUACCCGCGGCCUAGGGAAAGCUAAAUUCUUUGUGCUUUUGCCUCUCCACUGGAGCACAGUCUCCUCAAGGGCAGGGAUCACUCCAGCACCUAGAAGGCCUCAGAGGGGCAGCAGCCAUGCAGCAAACUUCUGUGAACAGGGAGAAGCCUCCUCACAAGAAUGGAGAGACCCAUUUCAAGACCCACAAACAGCCCAGGGAGGUAGUGGACACCCCAGGGCACCUCUACCCCAUGAACAGCUAAGAAAACUAAAGCCCAUUGCCCCAGCCAGAACUAGCGUUCAGACUCCUGCAUUGGGGACUUUCCACAAGAAGUUUAAUGAAAUGAUUUCUUUUUUCCUUUGUCACAAAUAAUUAUAACAUUAUUAAAACAAAACAAAUAUGUACAUGUGUAUAUAUGUAUCUUUUUAGAGACAGUGUCUCACUCUGUUGCCCAGGCUGGAGUACAGUGGUGCAAUCACAGCUCGCUGCAGAUCUCAACUCCUGGGCUCAAGUGACCCUCCCACCUCCACCUCCCAAAGUGUUGGGAUUGCGGGUGUGAGCCACCACACCCAUCUAUACAGUAUUUUUAAGUUGGCUAUAUAUUGAACUGAUAAUGUUUAGGAUAUAAGGAGUUAAAUAUAUUAUUAAAAUUAAUCAGUUUCUUUCUUUUUCUUCUCUCUCUCUCUCUUUUUU